This 497-nucleotide ribosomal RNA is filed under the name uncultured bacterium. RNAcentral describes it as "partial 16S ribosomal RNA". It matches the Rfam family "Bacterial small subunit ribosomal RNA", at positions 28 to 507 of the family's 1533-position model. The record is from RNAcentral.
GAUGAACGCUGGCGGCGUGCCUAAUACAUGCAAGUAGAACGCUGAAGGAAGGAGCUUGCUCUUUCCGGAUGAGUUGCGAACGGGUGAGUAACGCGUAGGUAACCUGCCUGGUAGCGGGGGAUAACUAUUGGAAACGAUAGCAAAUACCGCAUAACAGUAGAUGUUGCAUGAUAUCUACUUAAAAGGUGCAAUUGCACCACUACCGGAUGGACCUGCGUUGUAUUAGCUAGUUGGUGAGGUAACGGCUCACCAAGGCGACGAUACAUAGCCGACCUGAGAGGGUGAUCGGCCACACUGGGACUGAGACACGGCCCAGACUCCUACGGGAGGCAGCAGUAGGGAAUCUUCGGCAAUGGACGGAAGUCUGACCGAGCAACGCCGCGUGAGUGAAGAAGGUUUUCGGAUCGUAAAGCUCUGUUGUAAGAGAAGAACGAGUGUGAGAGUGGAAAGUUCACACUGUGACGGUAUCUGACCAGAAAGGGACGGCUAACUACGUG